UACGUAGGGUGCGAGCGUUAAUCGGAAUUACUGGGCGUAAAGCGUGCGCAGGCGGUUUUUUAAGUCCGAUGUGAAAGCCCCGGGCUUAACCUGGGAAUGGCAUUUGGGACUGCAAGGCUUGAGUGCGGCAGAGGAGACUGGAAUUCCUGGUGUAGCAGUGAAAUGCGUAGAUAUCAGGAGGAAUACCGAUGGCGAAGGCAGGUCUCUGGGCUGACACUGACGCUCAUGCACGAAAGCGUGGGGAGCAAACAGG
This 253-nucleotide ribosomal RNA is filed under the name uncultured bacterium. RNAcentral describes it as "partial 16S ribosomal RNA". It matches the Rfam family "Bacterial small subunit ribosomal RNA", at positions 524 to 776 of the family's 1533-position model. The record is from RNAcentral.